AUUGAACGCUGGCGGCAUGCCUUACACAUGCAAGUCGAACGGCAGCGCGGGGCAACCUGGCGGCGAGUGGCGAACGGGUGAGUAAUAUAUCGGAACAUGCCCAGAAGUGGGGAUAACGUAGCGAAAGUUACGCUAAUACCGCAUACGAUCUACGGAUGAAAGUGGGGGACCGCAAGGCCUCAUGCUUUUGGAGUGGCCGAUAUCUGAUUAGCUAGUUGGUGGGUAAAGGCCUACCAAGGCGACGAUCAGUAGCUGGUCUGAGAGGACGACCAGCCACACUGGAACUGAGACACGGUCCAGACUCCUACGGGAGGCAGCAGUGGGGAAUUUUGGACAAUGGGGGGCAACCCUGAUCCAGCAAUGCCGCGUGUGUGAAGAAGGCCU
RNAcentral lists this ribosomal RNA (384 nucleotides) under uncultured bacterium. RNAcentral's name for it is "bacterial SSU rRNA". It matches the Rfam family "Bacterial small subunit ribosomal RNA", at positions 30 to 417 of the family's 1533-position model. The record is from RNAcentral.